CCGCCACCAACAACUCUUCCUUCAACAACUCCAACACUAACAACUCUUCUUACAACAACCCCAUCACCAACAACUCCAUCACCAACAACUCUUCUUAGAACAACUCCAUCACCAACAACUCUUCCAACAACAACAACAACAACAACAACUACAUCACCAACAACUCCUCCUAUUCUCUUUGAAUACAUCAUUGUGGUUGAGUUGAACACCACAGAUGUCACUCUAAUAAAUCAACUGAGUACCAUUCUGAGAAGCAUCCGUUACCCCGUUAUCCUCAACAACGCACAAAUCCUUGAUGUAAACAUUUCUACAGUUUGCUCUCCGAGCAGUGCUGGUUACCAGUGCAGAUGUGAGGAUCAGUAUCGUUGGUCAUGUGACCAGUGUUUACAGUAUACAUCCUGUGACAACAUCACUGGUGACACAUGUGGAUGCAUCAAUGCCAUUCCUCCUGAUGGACAAUACUGCCAGCCUUCUGGUCAAAACAACAUUCCAGCUUGUAUUGCUACAA
Molecule: long non-coding RNA, 508 nt
Organism: Trematomus bernacchii (emerald rockcod)
Lineage: Eukaryota; Metazoa; Chordata; Actinopteri; Perciformes; Nototheniidae
Exons: 4
Source: RefSeq, a predicted model, not a curated record